UACGUAGGGUGCGAGCGUUGUCCGGAAUUAUUGGGCGUAAAGAGCUCGUAGGCGGUGUGUCGCGUCGGCCGUGAAAACCUGGGGCUUAACUCUGGGCGUGCGGUCGAUACGGGCAUCACUGGAGUUCGGCAGGGGAGACUGGAAUUCCUGGUGUAGCGGUGAAAUGCGCAGAUAUCAGGAGGAACACCGGUGGCGAAGGCGGGUCUCUGGGCCGACACUGACACUGAGAGACGAAAGCUAGGGGAGCAAAUGGG
This 254-nucleotide ribosomal RNA is filed under the name uncultured bacterium. RNAcentral's name for it is "partial 16S ribosomal RNA". It matches the Rfam family "Bacterial small subunit ribosomal RNA", at positions 524 to 776 of the family's 1533-position model. The record is from RNAcentral.